CCCGCUAGCUGGCAUAAUGCUGGGCAGUAAGGAUCGUCUGCUGACUGAGAGUGAUAGAAAGGAGCGGACUCCCCCGCUAGCUGGCACAAUGCUGGGCAGUAAGGAUCGUCUGCUGACUGAGAGUGAUAGAAAGGAGCGGACUCCCCCGCUAGCUGGCACAAUGCUGGGCAGUAAGGAUCGUCUGCUGACUGAGAGUGAUAGAAAGGAGCGGACUCCCCCGCUAGCUGGCACAAUGCUGGGCAGUAAGGAUCGUCUGCUGACUGAGAGUGAUAGAAAGGAGCGGACUCCCCCGCUAGCUGGCAUAAUGCUGGGCAGUAAGGAUCGCCUACUGACUGAGAGUGAUAGAAUGGAGCGGACUCCCCCGCUAGCUGGCAUAAUGCUGGGCAGUAAGGAUCGUCUGCUGACUGAGAGUGAUAGAAAGGAGCGGACUCCCCCGCUAGCUGGCACAAUGCUGGGCAGUAAGGAUCGCCUACUGACUGAGAGUGAUAGAAAGGAGCGGACUCCCCCGCUAGCUGGCAUAAUGCUGGGCAGUAAGGAUCGUCUGCUGACUGAGAGUGAUAGAAAGGAGCGGACUCCCCCGCUAGCUGGCACAAUGCUGGGCAGUAAGGAUCGCCUGCUGGCUGAGAAUGAUAGGAUGGAGCGGACUCUACUGCUAGCUGACACAAUGCAGGGCAGUAAGGAUCGUCUGCUGACUGAGAGUGAUAGAAAGGAGCGGACUCCCCCGCUAGCUGGCACAAUGCUGGGCAGUAAGGAUCGUCUGCUGACUGAGAGUGAUAGAAAGGAGCGGACUCCCCCGCUAGUUGGCACAAUGCUGGGCAGUAAGGAUCGCCUGCUGACUGAGAGUGAUAGAAAGGAGCGGACUCCCCCGCUAGCUGGCACAAUGCAGGGCAGUAAGGAUCGCCUACUGACUGAGAGUGAUAGAAUGGAGCGGACUCUACUGCUAGCUGAGAAUGAUAGGAUGGAGCGGACUCCCCCGCUAGCUGGCACAAUGCUGGGCAGUAAGGAUCGCCUGCUGGCUGAGAAUGAUAGGAUGGAGCGGACUCCCCCGCUAGCUGGCACAAAGUUGGGCAGUAAGGAUUGCCUGCUGAUUCUGCGUGUCACUUCCCACUCUGCACUCAUACAUGGCACCCAUCCUCCUCCCCCUCACUCACACAUCCCAGAUGGUUUGCAGCCUCUGAGGCUCUGACUAGCAGCAUCCUAUCUCUCUCUCCAUUCUCCCAGCUCGUCUCCCUGCUCCUCCGAUGGGCUGCCGGGCUCACAAGAGCCCCGCAGUUUUGCUCUAUGUGUCCUGCGUCUGGCUGGCUUUCAUCCCGUCCUAUAGUCAGCACAAUGUGCGUAUCCAGAAACUGCCUCCAUUGUGGCGUCCUCAUUACCAGUACAACGAACACCACCACCAGCUGCCGGUAAUUGCUGGGGGGACAUGCCGGGUGGUCUCUGCGCACCGGUGCUGUAAUCAGAAUCGGAUUGAGGAACGCUCUCAGACUAUCCAGUGCUCCUGUCUCCCAGGAAAAGUGGCAGGAACCACAAGAGACAAACCUUCAUGCGUAGACGCUUCCAUUGUGAUGGGGAAAUGGUGGUGUGACAUGGAGCCUUGUCUGGAAGAGGAGGAGUGCCAGACACUUCCAGAUAAUUCUGGAUGGAUCUGCUAUGUGGGGGGCCGCAUAAAGACCACUAAGAUUCACUCAGGGUUCUGACAAUCUCCAGAUAAUUGUUUUCCUGUCCUGUGUUUGGAGACAGAGGGAUCCUCAAAGCACCAAAUGCCUACGUUACAAGGCCGAUACCUCCAGCAAGGAGCGGUGUUAGACAGGAGGAAGUUAAGUGAAAAUCUGCAGGAAGGAUCUGUUCCUUCGGAUAAGCGGCAGGCCAGCUCUUUAAUGUCCUCAUGGAAGUGACAGAAAAAGGGAAAUAAAAUACAAUGAACUAUA
This is an RNA transcript of Pelobates fuscus (common spadefoot toad), 1925 nucleotides long. It is a transcript of the gene named chemokine-like protein TAFA-1, with no coding region annotated. The transcript is spliced from 5 exons. NCBI's taxonomy places the organism in Eukaryota, Metazoa, Chordata, Amphibia, Anura, Pelobatidae. The record is from RefSeq and is a predicted model, not a curated record.